UAAGGACCUAAUCGUGAAUAUGAUAAAAACAAGGACUAAACUGCAAAACGCACAAAAUGACAAAUCCCACCGCUUAAGCCUCUCUGCCUUCGUUCUUAAGGAAGCAGAGAAGGCAGCUGCAUGGAUGAUCAGGGAAAGAAAGAGAGAAGAAGAAGAAGAAGAAGGAGAAGAAGAAGAAGAAGAAGAAGAAGAAAAAAAAAAAUUUGGGGCUUUAAGGGUUCUUGCCCAAAUCCUUUCACUUAGGGUCAAAAUUCCCAAAGGCAAGUGUUUCUAACCCCAUCCUACAGAAAAUUAGUCUCUGUUUUUAUGUUGUUUCAAAAAAAAACUGAAGGAUUUCUAUCUAGAAACUGAUAUUUCUCUCUUUGAACAUAGAACCAUGGAUUCUGAAAUUUUUUCGAUAAACUGACCCCUAUACACUGUUUCAGCUAUAAUUUUAGCACAAAAUGUGAAUUCAGGCAGGAACUAUUUUGUUUGAAAUUAGACUCUUAUAAAUUUCUUUUGACACUGAUUUUGUAGAUUUUGGACACCGAAUACUUACCCAAUCAUCUGUUUCAAAUGAGCCUAUAGAUGCUGCAAAACAGGGAUCAAGAUUUCUGACCUUUCGAUACUAAAAUGCCUAUAACUCUCUGUUGAAAAUUCUGAUUUGUACCAAACUGACUUCGUCCGAAACUAGACUUGCAGACCUUUCUUUUGACAUAUAUUUUGAAAAUUUUAGAAUUCAAAUGCCUACCCUAUUAUCUGUUGAAUCCGACCCUAUGUAUUCUGCAAAACAGUGAUUGUGUCCUUGACCUUAUGUUACCAAAUCAAAGGUAACUCCUUGUGGGAAACUCUGAUUCGUACGAAACUUAUUUCUUCAGAAAAUAGGUUGAUAUAUCUUUCAAUGAAAGCUUUAUUAAGGGUAUUGGAGCAUAAUUGAUAAUCUGAAGUAUUUGUUCUAUGUGCCAUUGGAAUUCUGUCAGAAAUCGAGCUUUGGUCGAUUUCGCGUAUUCUGUUUCAUUCCUUUGGAUAUUGAAUUCUUCUAACCUUCUUAUUUGAAUUGAGCUAAAUAUGAUUGUUUGGAUUCCCUGUAUACUCUUGCUUCCAUUUCAUUCCUAAUAUGAAUACAUUUGUGAGAGAUUUGUUCCUUGCAUCAUAUUGUCUUGAAAAGGCACAUGUACGUUUUGUUGUUCCGCGUGUGCUUCUGAUAUAUGCUACUUAUUGUUAAAACUGCCCUCUUGUACUCUGGUGUGUGGGAUUGUCUGGACCUUUGCCAGAAAUGGUAAAGGGUAUGUGCUUAUUGCCCGCUCUAUGGGAUAUUUUAGACCUUUGCCAGAAAUGGUAAAGGGUAUGUGCUUAGAGCCUGCGAUGCUCUGCCGGCCCCCUCUGACUUCACCUAGACGUGGGUGGAUGGAGCUCCCAAACAUGGGAGACUUUUGUCAGGUGGUCAUUCAGAAAUGGAUGAAUCACAUUCUGACUGAGAUCCCACUACACCUUCUAUAUGUUUGAUAUGACAUCUAGAGUUUUGGUGAGUUGUUUCUGUUCAGGCUCUGGAUAAGAAUGAUAUGAUUGUAACGUCAAGGGCGACGUUUGAGCUUCUGUAUGGUAUUUGUUUUUGAUAUGCUCUGAAAUGCUUCAUUCACUGAUGAUUUUUGCUUCGUAAUGUUCCAUAUGCUGUUGAUAUGUUUCGGAACAUUUUAUAUGCCAUUGAUAAGCUUCGAUAUGUUUCCUUUGUUACUGAUAUGCUUCAAUUACUCUAUGCCCCCUAUGUUAUGAACCAAAUAUGUAUGAUUGAAAGGACAAUUGUGAUUCUGCACCUAAUGAUAUUAUGUCUACGAAUUCAUAUAUUCUGCCUCGUAUUAUGAAACUUUAUCUCUUUGGAAAUUGUCCUGUUUUGAUAUGGAUAUGUUAGUCACUUGCUGAGCUCUAUAUGCUCACCCCGUUUGUUGAUAAAUUUUUCAGGAUAGCGUAUCGCUUGCUUAAAUGUUAAGAAUGGGCUGAGGC
RNAcentral lists this long non-coding RNA (1980 nucleotides) under Musa acuminata (dwarf banana). RNAcentral's name for it is "long non-coding RNA (MACU_LNC007210)". Lineage: Eukaryota; Viridiplantae; Streptophyta; Magnoliopsida; Zingiberales; Musaceae. The record is from RNAcentral.